CCUACGGGAGGCAGCAGUGGGGAAUUUUGGACAAUGGGCGCAAGCCUGAUCCAGCCAUUCCGCGUGCAGGACGAAGGCCUUCGGGUUGUAAACUGCUUUUGUACGGAACGAAAAGGUCCUGGUUAAUACCCGGGGCUCAUGACGGUACCGUAAGAAUAAGCACCGGCUAACUACGUGCCAGCAGCCGCGGUAAUACGUAGGGUGCAAGCGUUAAUCGGAAUUACUGGGCGUAAAGCGUGCGCAGGCGGUUAUGUAAGACAGAUGUGAAAUCCCCGGGCUCAACCUGGGAACUGCAUUUGUGACUGCAUAGCUAGAGUACGGUAGAGGGGGAUGGAAUUCCGCGUGUAGCAGUGAAAUGCGUAGAUAUGCGGAGGAACACCGAUGGCGAAGGCAAUCCCCUGGACCUGUACUGACGCUCAUGCACGAAAGCGUGGGGAGCAAACAGGAUUAGAUACCCUGGUAGUCCACGCCCUAAACGAUGUCAACUGGUUGUUGGGUCUUCACUGACUCAGUAACGAAGCUAACGCGUGAAGUUGACCGCCUGGGGAGUACGGCCGCAAGGUUGAAACUCAAAUGAAUUGACGG
This 585-nucleotide ribosomal RNA is filed under the name uncultured bacterium. Its description in RNAcentral is "bacterial SSU rRNA". It matches the Rfam family "Bacterial small subunit ribosomal RNA", at positions 338 to 916 of the family's 1533-position model. The record is from RNAcentral.